UUGAGCUCAGUGACCAUGGGCCCUGAGAGU
RNAcentral lists this non-coding RNA (30 nucleotides) under Macaca fascicularis (crab-eating macaque). RNAcentral also lists the same sequence under 1 other name. Lineage: Eukaryota; Metazoa; Chordata; Mammalia; Primates; Cercopithecidae. The record is from RNAcentral.